RNAcentral lists this ribosomal RNA (250 nucleotides) under uncultured bacterium. Its description in RNAcentral is "partial 16S ribosomal RNA". It matches the Rfam family "Bacterial small subunit ribosomal RNA", at positions 524 to 773 of the family's 1533-position model. RNAcentral also lists the same sequence under 1 other name. The record is from RNAcentral.
UACGUAGGGGGCGAGCGUUGUCCGGAAUUACUGGGCGUAAAGGGUGCGUAGGCGGCGAUGCAAGUCCAUUGUGAAAAGCCCGGGCUUAACCUGGGAGGUGCAGUGGAAACUGUAUGGCUUGAGUGCAGGAGAGGAAAGUGGAAUUCCUAGUGUAGCGGUGAAAUGCGUAGAUAUUAGGAGGAACACCAGUGGCGAAGGCGACUUUCUGGACUGUAACUGACGCUGAGGCACGAAAGCGUGGGGAGCAAAC